GCCUAAUACAUGCAAGUCGAGCGAACUGACGAGGAGCUUGCUCCUUUGACGUUAGCGGCGGACGGGUGAGUAACACGUGGGUAACCUACCUAUAAGACUGGAAUAACUCCGGGAAACCGGGGCUAAUGCCGGAUAACAUAUCGAACCGCAUGGUUCGAUAGUGAAAGACGGUCUUGCUGUCACUUAUAGAUGGACCCGCGCCGUAUUAGCUAGUUGGUGAGGUAACGGCUCACCAAGGCAACGAUACGUAGCCGACCUGAGAGGGUGAUCGGCCACACUGGAACUGAGACACGGUCCAGACUCCUACGGGAGGCAGCAGUAGGGAAUCUUCCGCAAUGGGCGAAAGCCUGACGGAGCAACGCCGCGUGAGUGAUGAAGGUCUUCGGAUCGUAAAGCUCUGUUGUUAGGGAAGAACAAAUGUGUAAGUAACUGUGCACAUCUUGACGGUACCUAACCAGAAAGCCACGGCUAACUACGUGCCAGCAGCCGCGGUAAUACGUAGGUGGCAAGCGUUAUCCGGAAUUAUUGGGCGUAAAGCGCGCGUAGGCGGUUUUUUAAGUCUGAUGUGAAAGCCCACGGCUCAACCGUGGAGGGUCAUUGGAAACUGGAAAACUUGAGUGCAGAAGAGGAAAGUGGAAUUCCAUGUGUAGCGGUGAAAUGCGCAGAGAUAUGGAGGAACACCAGUGGCGAAGGCGGCUUUCUGGUCUGUAACUGACGCUGAUGUGCGAAAGCGUGGGGAUCAAACAGGAUUAGAUACCCUGGUAGUCCACGCCGUAAACGAUGAGUGCUAAGUGUUAGGGGGUUUCCGCCCCUUAGUGCUGCAGCUAACGCAUUAAGCACUCCGCCUGGGGAGUACGGUCGCAAGACUGAAACUCAAAGGAAUUGACGGGGACCCGCACAAGCGGUGGAGCAUGUGGUUUAAUUCGAAGCAACGCGAAGAACCUUACCAAAUCUUGACAUCUUUUGACCACUCUAGAGAUAGAGUUUUCCUCUUCGGAGGACAAAUGACAGGUGGUGCAUGGUUGUCGUCAGCUCGUGUCGUGAGAUGUUGGGUUAAGUCCCGCAACGAGCGCAACCCUUGAGCUUAGUUGCCAUCAUUAAGUUGGGCACUCUAAGUUGACUGCCGUGACAACCGGAGAAAGGUGGGGAUGACGUCAAUCAUCAUGCCCCUUAUGAUUUGGGCUACACACGUGCUACAAUGGACAAUACAAAGGGCAGCGAAACCGCGAGGUCAAGCAAAUCCCAUAAAGUUGUUCUCAGUUCGGAUUGUAGUCUGCAACUCGACUACAUGAAGCUGGAAUCGCUAGUAAUCGUAGAUCAGCAUGCUACGGUGAAUACGUUCCCGGGUCUUGUACACACCGCCCGUCACACCACGAGAGUUUGUAACACCCGAAGCCGGUGGAGUAACCAUUGGAGCUAGCCGUUCGAAGGGGACAAA
Molecule: ribosomal RNA, 1438 nt
Filed under: Staphylococcus chromogenes
Lineage: Bacteria; Bacillati; Bacillota; Bacilli; Caryophanales; Staphylococcaceae
Description: bacterial SSU rRNA
Rfam family: Bacterial small subunit ribosomal RNA
Source: RNAcentral